UUAUUAAUUUUUUUUUUCCUAUUUUCAUUUCUUUCAUCACUUGUUGAUUCCUAUUCUCAAAAAGUAGUUGUAUUUGUAUUUCUUUCUAUAAUAAAACUUUUUAAACAUUGGUUCUGUUUUGGGUCAGUGAGAAAGCCUUAUAUUGCGCAAAGGCAAGGGGUAGCAUGGCGUAUGAAACCAUCAGCCACAAUUACUUUACAAGCUGGGGGAAACUCAGGCUGAUCCCUGAAAUAUAUAUAUAUAUAUUUCCUUUCUUGCUAAUCCAGUACAAGAAAAUAAAUUCUGAAAACUCAACCAACAGAAGCCUCCUGCAAUCAGCGCCACACCUUCUGGUUUGCAGAUGAAUUUCUUCAGUGAACUUCGGUGUGCAAUAUAUGGGAUGCAAAUGCCAGCUCUGACACCUAAGAUCUAAAUCACAGAACUUGAAGCGUUUGUCUGGCUUUGGACUUUCUGAGUACUUUAGACUUUGUGAUCAAGACGGUUUAUUGUAUGUGUUCAAUAAACCUUGAUGUAUUCCACUAAUUAGGCAAUUUCUAGUUUAUUAGGCAUAAAAAAGUAUGGUUUUGUGCUUGGCACAUGCCGAGAAGAACACCAAGUUGUAUCAAUAUGUUGAGUGUGUACGUCUACAAUUGUAUGGUUUGAUUAGGUCCUAUUAUAGAGAAUCAAUUUAGAUUAACUUGGCUUACACUGAAAGAUUUUGAUUGUCUACGAUGAUUGUUUUAUCCAUAUGUUGCUUGCUUAAUAUCA
This is a non-coding RNA of Camellia sinensis, 747 nucleotides long. Lineage: Eukaryota; Viridiplantae; Streptophyta; Magnoliopsida; Ericales; Theaceae. The record is from RefSeq and is a predicted model, not a curated record.